CCUACGGGAGGCAGCAGUGAGGAAUAUUGGUCAAUGGGCGCAAGCCUGAACCAGCCAUGCCGCGUGCAGGAUGACGGUCCUAUGGAUUGUAAACUGCUUUUGUACGAGAAGAAACACUCCUAUGUAUAGGAGCUUGACGGUAUCGUAAGAAUAAGGAUCGGCUAACUCCGUGCCAGCAGCCGCGGUAAU
This 189-nucleotide ribosomal RNA is filed under the name uncultured bacterium. RNAcentral's name for it is "partial 16S ribosomal RNA". It matches the Rfam family "Bacterial small subunit ribosomal RNA", at positions 338 to 524 of the family's 1533-position model. The record is from RNAcentral.